GUCAGGAAUGUUGGAGGCCCGACAAGACAAGAGGUCCAUAGUUGCCCUCCAGCUCUCACCUGGGUUCAAGGUACACCCCAAUUGUUGGAAGAUUUGACCAGAUGACCUUCUUAAACCACAACGUCCCAAACUCCAUAAUAGUCUGAAUAUUGUCACGACUGGCCAUCUUUCAUCAUGAUUAGGUUCGACUGUAAAGUAGGUCCAGGUACAGCACAGCGUCACGAAGGAAAAAUACAAGAUAUUGCUGCGAGAGGGGAAAUAUUGAAAAUAGCCCUCAACAUCAUAUUCAUGGAGUAGCACGAACGGGAAAAAUUGUUACGAUAAAAUCAGUAAAUGUACAGUUUAUAUUUUUUGUUUUAAGAAUUAAAAAUAUAAUGGCAAUAAUUACCUCUUUUAUCGCGCCGCACUAAAGUUAAGCGGUCAAUAUGAUGAGAUUUUUAUUUUGCCUCUGUUAGAAGCAGUUAUGUUUUUAGAAAUGUAUUUUACAUGAUUGGUUGACAUAAAUAUUUCCGUUGAACUGCAUCAGUAUGUCACGAACAAAAUAUAAAUAUGCGUGAUAA
Dreissena polymorpha is the source of this 560-nucleotide long non-coding RNA. RefSeq lists it as uncharacterized. The transcript has 3 exons. The record is from RefSeq and is a predicted model, not a curated record. NCBI's taxonomy places the organism in Eukaryota, Metazoa, Mollusca, Bivalvia, Myida, Dreissenidae.